UACGAAGGGGGCUAGCGUUGUUCGGAAUAACUGGGCGUAAAGCGCAUGUAGGCGGAUCUUUAAGUCAGAGGUGAAAUCCCAGGGCUCAACCCCGGCAUUGCCUUUGAUACUGGAGAUCUGGAGUCUGGGAGAGGUGAGUGGAAUUCCGAGUGUAGAGGUGAAAUUCGUAGAUAUUCGGAGGAACACCAGUGGCGAAGGCGGCUCACUGGCCCGAGACUGACGCUGAGAUGCGAAGGCGUGGGGAGCAACCAGG
RNAcentral lists this ribosomal RNA (253 nucleotides) under uncultured bacterium. RNAcentral's name for it is "partial 16S ribosomal RNA". It matches the Rfam family "Bacterial small subunit ribosomal RNA", at positions 524 to 776 of the family's 1533-position model. The record is from RNAcentral.